CCUACGGGAGGCAGCAGUGAGGAAUCUUGGUCAAUGGACGAGAGUCUGAACCAGCCAAGUAGCGUGAAGGAUGACUGCCCUAUGGGUUGUAAACUUCUUUUAUAUGGGAAUAAAAUGUUCCACGUGUGGGAUUUUGUAUGUACCAUAUGAAUAAGGAUCGGCUAACUCCGUGCCAGCAGCCGCGGUAAUACGGAGGAUCCGAGCGUUAUCCGGAUUUAUUGGGUUUAAAGGGAGCGUAGGUGGAUUGUUAAGUCAGUUGUGAAAGUUUGCGGCUCAACCGUAAAAUUGCAGUUGAAACUGGCAGUCUUGAGUACAGUAGAGGUGGGCGGAAUUCGUGGUGUAGCGGUGGAAUGCUUAGAUAUAACGAAGAACUCCGAUUGCGAAGGCAGCUCACUGGACUGCAACUGACACUGAGGCUCGAAAGUGUGGGUAUCAAACAGGAUUAGAUACCCGAGUAGUC
Molecule: ribosomal RNA, 460 nt
Filed under: uncultured bacterium
Lineage: Bacteria
Description: partial 16S ribosomal RNA
Rfam family: Bacterial small subunit ribosomal RNA
Source: RNAcentral